UUGUGCCUACGGGGGGCAGCAGUGAGGAAUAUUGGUCAAUGGCCGAGAGGCUGAACCAGCCAAGUCGCGUGAGGGAUGACGGCCCUACGGGUUGUAAACCUCUUUUGUCGGGGAGCAAGACCCGCCACGAGUGGCGGAGCGAGAGUACCCGAAGAAAAAGCAUCGGCUAACUCCGUGCCAGCAGCCGCGGUAAUACGGAGGAUGCGAGCGUUAUCCGGAUUUAUUGGGUUUAAAGGGUGCGCAGGCGGAUUUUUAAGUCAGCGGUCAAAUCGUGGGGCUCAACCCCAUCCAGCCGUUGAAACUGG
Molecule: ribosomal RNA, 305 nt
Filed under: uncultured bacterium
Lineage: Bacteria
Description: bacterial SSU rRNA
Rfam family: Bacterial small subunit ribosomal RNA
Source: RNAcentral